RNAcentral lists this ribosomal RNA (551 nucleotides) under uncultured archaeon. Its description in RNAcentral is "bacterial SSU rRNA". It matches the Rfam family "Archaeal small subunit ribosomal RNA", at positions 325 to 878 of the family's 1478-position model. The record is from RNAcentral.
ACGGGGUGCAGCAGGCGCGAAGACUUUGCAAUACACGAAAGUGUGACAGGGCUAUCCCGAGUGCCAUCCGCUGAGGAAGGCUUUUACCCAGUCUAGAAAGCUGGGAGAAUAAGGAGAGGGCAAGUCUGGUGUCAGCCGCCGCGGUAAUACCAGCUCUCCGAGUGGUGUGGAUGUUUAUUGGGCCUAAAGCAUCCGUAGCUGGCCAAGUUAGUCCCCUGUUAAAUCCACCGAAUUAAUCGUUGGUGUGCGGGAGAUACUACUAGGCUAGGAGGCGGGAGAGGCCGACGGUAUUCCCGGGGUAGGGGUGAAAUCCUAUAAUCCCGGGAGGACCACCAGUGGCGAAGGCUGUCGGCUAGAACGCGCUCGACGGUGAGGGACGAAAGCUGGGGGAGCGAACCGGAUUAGAUACCCGGGUAGUCCCAGCUGUAAACGAUGCGGGCUAGGUGUUGGGGUGGCUACGAGCCACUUCAGUGCCGCAGGGAAGCCAUUAAGCCCGCCGCCUGGGGAGUACGGCCGCAAGGCUGAAACUUAAAGGAAUUGGCGGGGGAGCA